UAAUUCCCCUAUAUUACAAACAAUUUAC
This 28-nucleotide small RNA is filed under the name Bombyx mori (domestic silkworm). RNAcentral describes it as "ovarian small RNA-19897". The record is from RNAcentral. Lineage: Eukaryota; Metazoa; Arthropoda; Insecta; Lepidoptera; Bombycidae.